Molecule: unclassified non-coding RNA, 240 nt
Filed under: soil metagenome
Description: partial contains 5.8S ribosomal RNA, internal transcribed spacer 2, and large subunit ribosomal RNA
Source: RNAcentral
AACCUAGCACACCUGCGGUGUGUACCUGCGGAAGGAUCAUUACAGAGUUAUGCCCUUCGGGGUAAACCUCCAACCCUUUGUUUACAUACUUUGUUGCUUUGGCGGGCCGUGAGCUUUGCCUUCCCAUUGGUUUCGACUAAUGUGAGCCCGCCAGAGGUAACUCAAACUCUGAAUUAUUUUUACUGUCUGAGACGCAAUUACAAUAAAUUAAAACUUUCAACAAUGGAUCUCAGAUCGGAA